AACGAACGCUGGCGGCAUGCCUAACACAUGCAAGUCGAACGAGACCUUCGGGUCUAGUGGCGCACGGGUGCGUAACGCGUGGGAACCUGCCCUUAGGUUCGGAAUAACUCCCCGAAAGGGGUGCUAAUACCGGAUAAUGUCUUCGGACCAAAGAUUUAUCGCCUUUGGAUGGGCCCGCGUUGGAUUAGCUAGUUGGUAGGUUAAAAGCCUACCAAGGCGACGAUCCAUAGCUGGUCUGAGAGGAUGAUCAGCCACACUGGGACUGAGACACGGCCCAGACUCCUCCGGGAGGAGGCAGUGGGAAUAAUUGGACAUGGGGCGAAAGCCUGAUCCGGCAUUGCCGGUUGGGUGAUGAAGGCCUUAGGGUUGUAAAGCUCUUUUACCCGGGAUGUUAUUGCCGGUCCCGGAGGAAUAAGCCCCGCCUACCUCGUG
RNAcentral lists this ribosomal RNA (432 nucleotides) under uncultured bacterium. Its description in RNAcentral is "partial 16S ribosomal RNA". It matches the Rfam family "Bacterial small subunit ribosomal RNA", at positions 29 to 507 of the family's 1533-position model. The record is from RNAcentral.